Molecule: ribosomal RNA, 497 nt
Filed under: uncultured bacterium
Lineage: Bacteria
Description: partial 16S ribosomal RNA
Rfam family: Bacterial small subunit ribosomal RNA
Source: RNAcentral
GAUGAACGCUGGCGGCGUGCCUAAUACAUGCAAGUCGAGCGAACGGACGAGAAGCUUGCUUUUCUGAUGUUAGCGGCGGACGGGUGAGUAACACGUGGAUAACCUACCUAUAAGACUGGGAUAACUUCGGGAAACCGGAGCUAAUACCGGAUAAUAUUUUGAACCGCAUGGUUCAAAAGUGAAAGACGGUCUUGCUGUCACUUAUAGAUGGAUCCGCGCUGCAUUAGCUAGUUGGUAAGGUAACGGCUUACCAAGGCAACGAUGCAUAGCCGACCUGAGAGGGGGAUCGGCCACACUGGAACUGAGACGCGGUCCAGACUCCUACGGGAGGCAGCAGUAGGGAAUCUUCCGCAAUGGGCGAAAGCCUGACGGAGCAACGCCGCGUGAGUGAUGAAGGUCUUCGGAUCGUAAAACUCUGUUAUUAGGGAAGAACAUAUGUGUAAGUAACUGUGCACAUCUUGACGGUACCUAAUCAGAAAGCCACGGCUAACUACGUG